This is an RNA transcript of Loxodonta africana (African savanna elephant), 1841 nucleotides long. It is a transcript of the gene named Meis homeobox 3, with no coding region annotated. The record is from RefSeq and is a predicted model, not a curated record. Lineage: Eukaryota; Metazoa; Chordata; Mammalia; Proboscidea; Elephantidae. The transcript has 13 exons.
CUGCCCACCCCCUGGCGGUGGGCCCGCGGGCCUGUGGGGGCUGCGGCCACUGGCGGCGCCCUCCCCGCCGGCCGGGAGCUGCGAGGACCCGGGAGCUGCGGCCGGCCUCAGCCCAUGGCCCGGAGGUACAAUGAGCUGCCCCACUACCCCAGCAUCGUGGACGGCCCCGCAGCCCUGGCUGGCUUCUCUGAGGCCACGAGAGCCCCGGGACCCUAUGGCCCCCACCGAGCUCCCCAGCCCCCACCCCCGGGCUUGGACAGUGACAGCCUGAAGAGGGAGAAGGAUGAGAUUUACGGACACCCCCUCUUCCCCCUUCUGGCCCUGGUCUUUGAGAAGUGUGAACUGGCCACAUGCUCUCCCCGUGAUGGGGCCGGGGCUGGGCUGGGCACACCCCCCGGUGGGGACGUCUGCUCAUCCGAUUCCUUCAACGAGGAUAUUGCUGCCUUCGCCAAGCAGGUCCGCUCUGAGAGGCCCCUCUUCUCUUCCAACCCAGAGCUGGACAAUCUGAUGAUACAGGCCAUUCAGGUGCUUCGGUUCCACCUGUUGGAGUUAGAGAAGGUCCACGACCUGUGCGACAACUUCUGUCACCGCUACAUCACCUGCCUCAAGGGAAAGAUGCCCAUUGACCUGGUCAUUGAGGAUCGGGAUAUAGGCUGCAGGGAGGACCUCGAGGACUACCCGGCUUCCUGCCCCAGCCUCCCAGACCAGAAUAAUACAUGGAUUCGAGACCACGAGGACAGUGGGUCUGUACAUUUGGGUACCCCGGGUCCAUCCAGUGGGGGCCUGGCCUCCCAGAGUGGGGACAACUCCAGCGACCAAGGAGAUGGGCUGGAUACAAGCGUGGCCUCUCCCAGCUCUGGGGGAGAGGAUGAGGAGUUGGACCAGGAGCGGCGGCGGAACAAGAAGAGGGGCAUCUUUCCCAAGGUGGCCACCAACAUCAUGAGAGCCUGGUUGUUCCAGCAUCUCUCGCCCCACCACAGCCCAGAGCUGCCGUCCCUGGGGGCCUGGUGGGCCUUGGGGACCAGACAGCGGGCAGGCAGACAAGAUGACUCUUACUGGUGGCCUCAGCACCCCUACCCCUCGGAGGAGCAGAAGAAACAGUUGGCACAAGACACAGGGCUCACCAUCCUGCAGGUCAACAACUGGUUCAUUAACGCCCGGAGACGGAUCGUACAGCCAAUGAUCGAUCAAUCCAAUCGCACAGUCUGCACCCCUCAAUCCCCUCUACAGGGCAGGGUGCAGCCUUCAGCCCAGAAGGCCAAUCCGUGGGGGGCUACACAGAGACUCAGCCACAUGUGACCAGCAGGCUGUCAGGAUCGAUGCGGAUGAGCCUGAACUUAGAAGGAGAGUGGCAUUAUCUAUAGAGGCUGGAUUCAGGAAAUGUACCCCAGCCUCUGGACUGUGACUCCCAGGCUCACACCUGGUCCCAGUUCCCACGUGGUCUUCUGACUUCAGGACCCCACCUCCGAAGGCCCCCCUCCCACUUAACGCCUACCUCCCUGAGGCCCCUCCGGGACACGGGGGCCUGAGUGCUCCUUUGAGGGUCUCUCAAGGACAAAGACAGGGCCUCCAGACUGUGAGCCCCGCUUCUGCCCUAACCUCUGCCAGCCAGUGCUGAGAUCCUGGGCCUGGGUCUUAAGAAGAUGGUGGCUGGAAACCCCACCUCCAGGACAGAGAAGGGGUUGGGGGUGGGCUGGGCUGUCAAGAAAGGCGGGCCAGGAUCCGACAUUUUGAGGGAGGCUCCCUUCACCCUCCCAACCACUCCCCUUCUCUCUCCCUACCUCCCUUCUCCGACUUCGGCUACUUUUUUUUUUUUUUUCUAACGAUAAAGUCUUAAAAAC